UCAAAUUCAGUUGAGCCGAAGAAAUCAAUCUGCCCUAAUUUUGCGUUUACCCCCUUAUCACAAUCAGGUAAUAAAUCUCUCCUGUAUCGAAAUUUCUUAAAUUUGGAAAAUAACAGACGAAUUUGUUUUACUUCUGACUCGGUUUGAAUUUAGGGUUCGUUUUGUUUAGUGUUUUCUUGUUCGAAUUGGAUUCCUGUUGCUUGAUUGGGUAGGUCUGAAUUGUAUAGAAGUCAGAAAAAGGAGUGAUUUUUAUGUGUGAAUUGCAGAGGACUAUUGAUAUUGUAGGAGGAACUGCAAUGGUAGAGGGCAAAUAUAAACCUAGGAAGGAGUGAGAAUCGAAGAGGAUAAGUGGUUUUCAAGAUAGAGAGGGCGAAAAGGAGAGGAAAUGGGAGGAGGAGGCGUUAUAGUGGGGAAGAUAGAAAUACGAGAGAUUGUGAUAGUUGUUCCGUGAGAGACAAGUUUUGUGAUUGUUCUGAGGACGAGAGGUACAAUGUAGAGAAGCGGCAUUGAGGAGAUAGGGAGAGAGAUAGUCAUAGAAGGACUAGAGAUAAGGAGAGUGAUAGGAAACGGUGUAAGAAAGAUCACAAGGAUAACGUAAAGAGAAAGUGAGAAAGGAGUAGCAGCAGGUCAGAUAGACAUAGGGAUGAUGGAGUUGAGAGGCUGAUCACGAAGAGUGAUGAAGAUUAUUCAGUUAAGAAAGAGAGGAAACGAACAUGCGAGGUUGUGGAGGAGGAGUUAAGAGGAUCAACAGAGGAAUUGGAUGAGGAAAUGGAAAAGCGGAGGACAAGACCACUAGUCAUGCAUUAUCACUUCCUGGUGGCGCUCAACAACACAGAUAUUAAGUUAUAUAAGUGAGAACUCAAUUCCAACCAACUUUAGGUAUCUGCUUAUGCUGGACUGAAUCUGACUCUCAGUUCCUAUUUUAUUUUUCUCGGUCUCCUGAUGAGUUUCCGUAAUGAAUUAUUCCAGUUACUGGAUUUUUUUGUGUUUGCCCAUGCCGUAUCUAUCAUGUUGAUCUUUAAUGGUCAACUUGUAUGAGAGCCUUCUUUGUUGAACUCGACAUGAAAUUUCAGUAAUCUUAUCAUUGUUUUCAAUUGUUUAAAUAGUAUGAAUUUAUUUUGUCUUGCUUUAUACAAUUUUCAGUCCUGCUUUUGAUGCUUUUCUCUAUUUUUUUCUGUCAUUUCCCCUGGUGCAAGGGACAUUAGGUACAUAGGCUCGCUUAUUCAACGUUGUCUACGCCUUUACGAAGCUGUGCAAUUCUUCAUUUUAAAGGGAUGUUUAAGCUGCCGCCUUUCUUGUGGAGACGAUCUUAUAAUGUAGACAGUUGGUGACCAAUGCAUUAAUGCUAUACUGAUCUCGUGCCCAAGCUUGGCAGCAGAAUAUAUCACGGGACUGAAACUUUUGCGUUUCAACCGUCAAGAAUCUUUUUGGGAAGCUGUUAACUGGCUUUAUAGGGACUGUUUUUAGAUAUCUUCACGAAUUUUUGCAAAAACCCAAAAACAAUUCGAAGUGUAAAAAUGUAAUGUGAAGUUUGUAAUUACGAAUGAUUAAGAAAUUGUGUUCUUGUUCAUACCGGUGGAGAUUCCAAAAUUCCCACUGUGUAUGAAAAAAAAACCUAAUUGGUACGGGGACGGGAGAAGAUUAA
Pyrus x bretschneideri (Chinese white pear) is the source of this 1645-nucleotide long non-coding RNA. RefSeq lists it as uncharacterized. The transcript is spliced from 3 exons. The record is from RefSeq and is a predicted model, not a curated record. NCBI's taxonomy places the organism in Eukaryota, Viridiplantae, Streptophyta, Magnoliopsida, Rosales, Rosaceae.